UCUGAAUCUGCGNACGGCUCCGCAAACCAGUUGUAAACCUAAGCAAGCUUGCUCGGGUCGGGCUUCGGCCUGGCCUGGGUGAUACGGAUAACCCUGGUAAUUCUGAGGCUAAUACGAGAACGCAAUCCCUGGCUGACCGGGCAACUGGAAGGCUGGGAGGCGUGCACGUUGUGUCGCGAGAAAUCGCCGGGAAUAGACACAUGCCUGGACCGCGCCAAAAACAGAUGGGGCUUCCCGCAAGGGUCGUCCUGCCUGAGCGGCUCUUGCUUUGUGCUUCUGACCUAUCAACUAGAUGGCAGCGUAACGGACAUGCUACGGUGACAACGGGUACAG
This 333-nucleotide ribosomal RNA is filed under the name uncultured myxomycete. RNAcentral's name for it is "bacterial SSU rRNA". It matches the Rfam family "Eukaryotic small subunit ribosomal RNA", at positions 80 to 365 of the family's 1831-position model. Lineage: Eukaryota; Evosea; Eumycetozoa. The record is from RNAcentral.